UCGCUUGUAUUUUAAGAUUCGUAUACACUUGACCGGAAUUGAACGUAAUUUUAAGGAACUGCUAUAUGCAAUCGUUUGUAUUUCGUUUGAAGAGUAAUGAAGUGUGA
Molecule: long non-coding RNA, 107 nt
Organism: Ooceraea biroi (clonal raider ant)
Lineage: Eukaryota; Metazoa; Arthropoda; Insecta; Hymenoptera; Formicidae
Source: RefSeq, a predicted model, not a curated record